AAGAGCAGCCUGUGGGUGACUCAGCAGCGACAACGCCUGCCCCGACCUGAUAAGUCCUCCUACAAUGAAGGGCCUAAAGCAACUGAAUACCCAGAGACCAGAGAGAGAAAAGGAUCGCAUCUGAGGGAUUAGGGAAGAUGGCCUUUAGAAGGGCUGCACCUGUGGCAUAUGGCUGGGGUCCAAUCAGAGCUACAGCUGCUGGCCUACACCACAGCCACAGCAAUGCAGGAUCCAAGCCGUGUCUUCGACCCACACAACAGCUCACAGCAAUCCUGGAUCCUUAAUCCACUGUGUGAGCCCAGGGAUGGAAUCCGAAUCCUUAUGGAUACUAGUCAGGUUUGCUACCACCGCGCCAAAAUAGGAACUCCUGGAUGGGUUUCCGAAGGACAGUUUCAUCUCCUCCAAGACAGGUCCUGAGGGGAGGGCCACACUUCCCACUCAGUGUGAGCCAACAGGUCUAUGUCACCCUCCAGACUGGGGGUCCCCUCAUGAGGGGACCACAGAGGAUGAGCGAAAGAAACAGUGAGAGAUGAGGACACUGAGAACAGAGCUCACUUUAUUGGGAAAAGAGAAAGUUGGGUCCUUGGUCUCAAAACAGGACCUGGAAGAGGCAAAAGCCAGGUGUUUGAAUCAAGCGUCAUUUGAACAUGCCCGCCUCCCUCACCUCCCAAGUGGGGCAGCUCCAGUUACAAGCACCAGCGGCCCCUGCCCCAAAACCCCAGGCUGUGUUACCAAUGGACAUCUGUUUCUGGGAUCAAGGAACGUGAGGGAAAUGUCUCCUUCUCUCCCAGGAUGGCAGUGCCCUCAGAACCCAUCAGCUCCUACCUCUAACCCUCCAUUGCACAGAGGCCCAGAAAGGGACAGAACCCUGCCCAGAGGCACACAGUCAGCAAGUGCAGGAUGGAGAGUCAAACCUGCAUUCCCUGUCUCCUGGCUUGGGACUCAUUCCAAGAGAAGAUUCUAGAAGAUGGGCCCCAUCAAAUGGGUAUCACCUGCCCUGACACUCGCCAAGAGACUCCAUCCCCAUGACUCAUAGGUGCAAGCCAGAAGACGCAGGCCAGUGCCACCUGGGGACCUCCUAGGGUGGGCCCCUGGGAGGGCGGUGCUGCUGAGGACAAAAGGGACAGCUAUGGGGAAGGUGCUUGGGAAGAAGACAUCCUCUUGAAAUUUGCUUCUCUGAUGAGUGCAAUCCUACCUUCUGAAAUCCAAGAUGGUUAAAAAGCAAAGUCCUUCGCUCCUGACCCAUCUACAGCAUCCAGAGACGGCCAUCAGAGCAGGAAUAACCUAGAAUGUUAGAUAAUGUCAAAAAGCUCCAUUUGGAGUUCCUGCUGUGAUGCAAUGGGAUCAGCAGUGUCUCUGCAGCACCAGCAUGCCAGUUCAAUCCCCAGCCUGGCAGUGGGUUAAAACAGGUGUUGCCACAGCUGCAGCAGCGUAGGUCUGCAACUGCAGCUUGGAUCCAGUCCCUAGCCCGGGAAAUCCCUAUGCCGUAGAGUGGCCAAACACGGGAAAAAAAAAGCUCCACUUGUCAAGCACUUACUAUGCACCAGGCACCUCAUUGAUCCACUUGGUGGAUUAACUGCCUUGUGCCAGUUGCAGCAUCAGUUGCUGGGAAAUUUGUGAGACUAAAACAGACAUGAUCCUUCACUCAUAGCUUCUUUGUAAAUCUUCACAACUUCUUGGUAGGCACGGUCCCCCAUGAUUAAGGAAAUGGGCUCACAGAGUGAGGUGAUUUUCCCAAGGUUACACAGCAAAGACAUGGCAAGCAGUCAAAAAAAUCACAGAACAAGCUGGCCUUCCAAGACACAGAGGGACUAGAUGGGAGAGGGACCUGCCAAAGUCACAGCAGUUUCUUGAGUGGCUGGCACCUGCCCCUGCUACAAAGGUGAUGAGAAACAGAGCUGGCAGGGAGCAUGCUCAGUCCACACCUGUGAGCUAGACACAAGGAAUCCCCACAGUGCCCUCCGCGUAAUCACAGAAUGUCCUCUUGGGAGCCAGGAGGAGGUAAGCAGAGGAAGUGAACUUGAUGGAACCAAGAUGGGAUUCUAGCUGGCCCAGCCAUGGACAAGCUGUGUGGCCUUGGGAAAAUCAUUCCCCUCUCUGAGCCUCAGUUUCCUCAUCUGUAAAAUAGGGGUAAUAAUAAUGCCUACUUCACUGUCAUGUGGUGAAGAUGAAAUGUUACCCCAUGUAAAGUGCCUGGAACCAGGAAGGGCCCCGUGUGCCAUCUGUAUUAUCUAUUAUAAUGACACUGGCCUCUCACUGAGAUCUGCAUCUGGGGAGGGCUCUGCACAGGUGAGGCUCAUGGCAAGUGGUGCUGAUGGAGCCAGAACCUUAGCAAGCCCCCAGCCCAGCUCGCCACUCUGUCAGGAAGUCCAUCCUGAAGACACCUCACCAGCCCCUCUCUGGCCCUCAUUUUGAAUUUCCAAGCUGCCUGACCCCAGGACCAGCCUGCUAUUCUAGUCCCUGCUCUCCCAACACCUGCAAGCUCAGAGUAUGGGGGGGGGUCCAGGUCCUGACCCUCUGCCGUCACCCCCCUACACACACCAGCUCCCAGCACUAGGUGCUCAGUGCCCAGAAAUGAAAUAAAGGAAGAAAUGAUGAUGAGUAAGUAAGUGAUGAGAAAAGGGGUGUGUGUGUGUGUUUAAGUGCUGGAGCCAGGAUCGGGGGGAAUCACUUCAUAGGGGUUUUAGAGCCUCAAAGGUGCUCCCUGCCUGGAUCUGCAGUGGUUGCAAGGCUGAGGAUCUGCAGCUGAUGACAGAGGGGCUGGUCUUCAGGCAGAGGCCCCACAGGGGCCCAACCUGUGUUAUUGCUCCUCCAAGUUCUCUCAGGACAUAGUGACUCCACCUUGUGGAACAUUUCAAAUUCCACCUCAAGCAAACCUCUUUAGACAGCAGCCUCUGGCACCCCCAUUACUAUUGCAGAAUAACCUUAUAUCAGGGCCCCCUAUGUGCCAGGCAGCAUCUCUAGGCCUCAGAGAGGGUGCUUGGAAACAAAGUGACUUGCUUAAGAUCACAUUGCCAGUAAGUGGACAGGAAUCUAGCAAAAUCAGGAUACUCACUAGAAACUGAGCAUCAUAUUAGAGACUGACUCAUUCCCUCACCGUAAAUCUAGGAGGAAACAGGAGUUCCCAUUGUGGCUCAACCGAAACAAAUCUGACUAGUAUCCAUGAGGAUGCAGGUUCAAUUCCUGGCUUCGAUCAGUGGGUCAAGGAUCCAGUGUUGCCGUGAGCUGUGGUGUAGGUUGCAGAUGCAGCUUGGAUCUGGCAUUGCUGUGGCUGUGGCGAGAGCCAGCGACUGCAGCUCUGAUUCAACUCCUAGCCUGGGAACUUCCAUGUGCCAUGGUGUGGCCCUAAAAAAGACCAAAAGAAAAGAAAAAUCUAGGAGGAAACAGAAGCUCAGAGAGGGUAAAACCUUGCCAAGGUCACACACCCAACCAGUUAGCAUCAGAAGUGAGAGUUGAAUCCAUUGUUGGGGCUCCCCAGGCCAUGCAGAAAAGUGAACCUGAGGGCUCUGGUUUACUCCCAUCACCCUCCUGCCCUCCCCACCCAGCCUCUCUUACAUGACACUUGACAUUAUCCAUCACUCCCUCCCCCUGGGAACGCCCUCCUCCUCCAGUUUCCAUGGCAGCACAUUCUCCCCAUCCUCCUCUUGUUUCUCUGGCAGCUUCACAUCUCCAACAGUGGCUCCUGAGCCUACAAAGCAGGGGGGUCCCCAGGCUUGGUCCCACAUCUCGUCUCCCUCCAUCUCUACCUCCAAAAGCUCAUCUCCUUUUCCCUCUAGAUCUCUAACUAUCACUUUGCACUGCCGCUCCACUUUUAAGUAAUAAAAAGCUCUUACCAAG
RNAcentral lists this long non-coding RNA (3837 nucleotides) under Sus scrofa (pig). RNAcentral's name for it is "lncRNA (ENSSSCG00030047081.1)". The record is from RNAcentral. Lineage: Eukaryota; Metazoa; Chordata; Mammalia; Artiodactyla; Suidae.